CAUUCUAUGGCCGAACUGGUAAAGGCAUCGCCGAUUUCAGGCGAAGAUGCGGGUUCGAGUCCCACUGGAACGG
Molecule: transfer RNA, 73 nt
Filed under: Operophtera brumata (winter moth)
Lineage: Eukaryota; Metazoa; Arthropoda; Insecta; Lepidoptera; Geometridae
Rfam family: tRNA
About the family: Transfer RNA (tRNA) molecules are approximately 80 nucleotides in length. Their secondary structure includes four short double-helical elements and three loops (D, anti-codon, and T loops).
Source: Rfam by way of RNAcentral